UACGUAGGGGGCUAGCGUUGUCCGGAAUCAUUGGGCGUAAAGCGCGCGUAGGCGGCCCGGUAAGUCCGCUGUGAAAGUCCAGGGCUCAACCCUGGAAAGCCGGUGGAUACUGCCGGGCUAGAGUCCGGAAGAGGCGAGUGGAAUUCCUGGUGUAGCGGUGGAAUGCGCAGAUAUCAGGAGGAACACCAAUAGCGAAGGCAGCUUGCUGGGACGGUACUGACGCUAAGGCGCGAAAGCGUGGGGAGCGAACAGG
This 253-nucleotide ribosomal RNA is filed under the name uncultured bacterium. Its description in RNAcentral is "partial 16S ribosomal RNA". It matches the Rfam family "Bacterial small subunit ribosomal RNA", at positions 524 to 776 of the family's 1533-position model. The record is from RNAcentral.